This 591-nucleotide long non-coding RNA is filed under the name Amborella trichopoda. RNAcentral describes it as "long non-coding RNA (ATRI_LNC003798)". The record is from RNAcentral. Lineage: Eukaryota; Viridiplantae; Streptophyta; Magnoliopsida; Amborellales; Amborellaceae.
GGUGUUUUGGUCAUUUGAGAAAAAGUUGUGGGGUGGGGGGUUCGCGGUACUUGGGGAAGGCAAGGGCGGUUGGUGUCAGCAGCAUGCAUUGUCGAGGGAUCAAAACCCACUGGGGAUGGGUCCCACCUCCCCGCUCCUUCCAUAAACCCAAAAAGAAUACUUCCUCACCCUUAAUGGUCUCAUCCUUUUCCCUGCCCUUUAUGUUUUCCUCUUAUUCUCUAUUUUCCCUAAAAUACCCCCUCUCUCUAUUUUCAUUAAAAUCUCUCUUCCUCUCUCCCAUCAACUAUCUCUCUCUCUCUCUCUCUAUUUUCCUUAAAAUCUCUACACUCUCUCUCUCUCUCUGCCCUCUAUGCUUUCCUUUUAUUCUCUAGUUUUUCCUAAAACCUCUCCCCCUCUCUUCUCUCUCUAAAUAAAUCUAUCUCUCUCUCUCUCUCUCUAGAUUCAACUAUAACCCACCACUGAUAAGCAUGUAAGAGUUACAACUGAGAUAGUAAUAGUAGGGUUAUGACAGAGGUGGGAGAGGAUCUUUUAUCAGUUUAUGUACUACCCUAAAAAUAGAGAGAGAGAGAGAGAGAGAGAGGGGAGGGGGNN